ACUGGUGAUUGCUCCAAUUUUUACCUUUUGUGCCUGUUGCUUUCCUUGAUUUGUGCUACAGAAACAAGUCACCAGGCCCUUCAGAACAUGCCCAAAGUGCUCCGUGAUGUUGAAGCUCUUAAACAGGAGGCAUCUUUUCUAAAAGAACAAAUGAUUCUUGUCAAGGAAGACAUUAAAAAAUUUGAACAGGACACAUCGCAGUCGAUGCAGGUAUUUCGGCUCCUGCCCUAUGUGGGGAUUCUGGUUUUUGGAAGGGGUUCACUCUCACAGGGGGUGUUGGACAGCACAGCAUUGCCAAAAGCCAG
RNAcentral lists this long non-coding RNA (305 nucleotides) under Marmota monax (woodchuck). Lineage: Eukaryota; Metazoa; Chordata; Mammalia; Rodentia; Sciuridae. The record is from RNAcentral.